RNA transcript from Humulus lupulus (European hop), 7153 nucleotides. It is a transcript of the gene named TMV resistance protein N-like, with no coding region annotated. The transcript has 12 exons. NCBI's taxonomy places the organism in Eukaryota, Viridiplantae, Streptophyta, Magnoliopsida, Rosales, Cannabaceae. The record is from RefSeq and is a predicted model, not a curated record.
AUGUAAAACAUUUUUAUUUAUGAAAAUUUUUAAACAUAAAUAAAAAAAAAACUAACUGCAUUAAUUGUACUGUAUAUGAUGCAGUUUUUCUCAAUCGUGCAAUGAAGAAUUUUAUGGCAUGUGUUGAAAUUUUCUUCCAAUCUAUACAAUCUGGUUUCACAGCCCAUUUUAGAAAAUUGCUUUUGAAGUGAUGAUCUUUGUGAAGAUCAAUAAUCGACGAGUCUAACAAUGGAAGUAGUAGCUUCCUCUUCUUCUUCUUCUCCAUUCCCCACUCCCACCAGAGUGAAAACAUCAAAGUAUGAUGUUUUCAUCAGUUUUAGAGGCGAGGAUACUCGCAAUGCUUUCACAGCCCAUCUUUUUGAGGCUCUGCGCAUCAGAAAAGUUUACACCUACUUAGACGAGGUCACUCUCAAGAGAGGAGACGAAAUCUCACCUGCGCUACUUCAAGCAAUUCAGCAAUCCAAGAUUUCUGUCAUCGUUUUCUCGGAAAAUUACGCCGACUCCUCAUGGUGUUUGGACGAGCUUGUGAAAAUUAUGGAAUGCAAGGAGAUUCUUGGGCAGCAAGUGGUUCCCAUUUUUUACCAUGUUGAUCCUUCGUGUGUGAGGAAACAAAAGGGGACUUAUGAGCUUGAACAGCAAUUUAAAGAUAAGAUGGAGAAGUUGCAGAUUCAUGGGCAGGCAUGGAGGAAUGCUUUGACGAAAGCUGCCGAUUUGUCUGGUUGGAGUACUCACCAGAUCAGGUCUGAAUCCAAGUUGAUCGAAGCAAUAGUUGAAGAUAUUAUCAAGAAAUUGAAAUCUAUGUCUUCUUCAAGUGCUUGGUUGGAGCUAGCUGGAAUACAAAGACGCAUGAAGCAAGUUGAAUCAAUGUUGUGCCUAAACUCAUCCAGUGAUCGGGUGAUAGUGGUGGGCCUUUGGGGGAUGGGGGGUAUAGGCAAGACAACCCUUGCUCGGGCUGUGUUUGACAAGAUUUCUCAUCAGUUUGAAGGUUGUUGCUUUCUUUCAAAUGUUAGAGAAGAAUGGGACCAUGGACGAAAAAAGUAUGAUUUACAGAAAAAGCUUUUCUUGGAGUUAUUGGAUGAAGAAAGUAAAAGUAUGAAAAUGCUAUCCUUUUUUGACAGAGAUAGACUCCUUUAUAAGAAGGUUCUCAUAGUUCUUGACGAUGCUAAUGAUUCAGAGCAAUUGGACUUUUUGACUCGAGAUGGGGAAUGGUUUGGGUUGGGGAGUAGAAUCAUCAUAACAACAAGAGAUAUGCAGUUUCUUAAGAAUCGAGUUGAUGAGAUAUACAAAGUUGAGGGAUUAAGUUUUGAUGAAGCUUUCCAACAUUUCCAAAAGAAUGCUUUAAGAAGAAAAAUUCCAAUAGCUGAGUUUACAGAGCUUUCAAUAAGGGCAGUAAAGUAUGCAGAAGGUAUUCCACUAGUUCUUCAAGUAUUGAUGGGUUCCCUAUUUAGUUAUAAUAGUAAAGGGGAAUGGAGAAGUUUACUGGAUGACUUAAAAUAUCCGGCCAAUGAAAAAAUUCAUGAUGUGCUAAAGAUAAGUUACGAUGGUCUAACUAGAAAAGAAAAAGAUGUCUUUCUUGACAUUGCAUGCUUUUUCAAAGGAAAGGAAAGAAGUUACGCGGAAGGAAUACUUAAAGGUUGUGAUUCCUUUGUUGGCAUGAGAAUAGAUAAUCUGGUUGAUAAGUCUCUCAUAACUAUCGAGAAACGCAGAAAUUCGCUUUGGAUGCAUGAUUUGGUACAAGAAAUGUGCUGGGAAAUUGUUUUCCAACAAUCCAUUAACAAGCCUGGAAAGCGUAGUAGAUUAUGGAAUCCUGAUGAUGUUUAUCAUGUCUUCAAAAAUAAUAAAGUCUCUGCUAUGGUUGAAGGAAUAUUCUUGGAUGUCUCUAAGAUUAAAGGAUUAAACUUGAGCCCUGCAGUGUUCCUGGAGGCAAACAAUCUGAGAUUGCUCAAAAUUCAUAAUUCUAAAAGAACCAACGAUAGCAAAUUAUGUUUCCCUCAAGGUCUUCAAUCUCUUCCAGAUGCACUUAGGCUUCUUUACUGGAGAGAGUAUCCAUUCAAAACUUUGCCAUUAAGUUUUGAUCCUGAGAAGCUUGUUCGACUUAGAAUGCCACACAGCCAGGUUGAGCAACUUUGGGAUGGAAUCCAGCAUUUGCCGAACUUGAAGCUUAUCGAUCUCAAAUACUCAGAGAACCUGACCUGUAUUCCAAAUCUGUCUCAAGCUCCUAAUCUUGAAGUGCUGGAUCUCGACUAUUGCAUAAAUUUGCUCCCUCUUGCAGCACAUUUCAAAAAUCUUGGAAAGCUUACUUGUUUGUAUAUGAAUCAUUGUGCAAAGCAAAGAAGUCUUCCCAACAUAAGAUCUCUUGAAACUCUUGAACUUAGGGGCUGCCAGAAUCUUAAAAAUAUUCCAGAAUUAAAGGGAAAUAUGACUAACUUAGAUUUAAGUAACACUCCAAUAGAAGAAUUGUCUUCAUCUAUUGGUUCCUUGGACCAACUCCAAUCAUUGAAACUUGAGAAGUGUACAAACCUUAAGAGUCUUCCUGCAAGCAUUUGUCACUGGCAAUACUUGACUGAAAUUAAUCUAUAUGGCUGCUCGUCUCUCGAACAUUUACCAGAUCUUCCAAGGACUCUAAGGUCGUUAGAUGUGAGUGGAGCAGCAAUAGAUCAACUGCCCACAUCAAUUGAAUCUCUUCCUUAUCUCAUCUUCUUUCUUUUAAGGGAUUGCAAAAGGCUUCAAAGUCUGCCAACAUGCAUGUACAAGUUAAAGAAACUUGGUUGGCUUAAUCUGCGUGGUUGCUCUAAAAUUGAGAACUUCCCAGACAUUUUAGAGCCUAUGGAGAAAUUAUUUUACCUUAAUUUAUCUGGAACAGGUAUUAUAGAGUUACCUUCUUCCUCAGUUAAAAACCUACCUAAUCUUAGUUUCUUGAACUUGGAAAUGUGUGAAAAUCUCAAGUUUCUCCCGUUGCCUGAGCUUCCAUUCUGUCUAAACAAUCUAAAUGCACAAGGUUGCACAUCAUUGGAGACUCUAUCACUUUCAAGGAUCGAAGUCACAAAACCUUAUGGCCGUUCCGGAUUCAGUAAUAAUAAGUUCAUCUCUUUUUUGAAUUGCCUAAAGUUGGACCAGAACGCACUCAACAUCAUAAUAGCUGAUGCGCAGAUUAUAAUUAUUUACAUGGCAAGUCGAAUAUUGUCAACUGAAAUCUGCCACUAUCAUCUCUAUGCUUGUAUUUGCUAUCCCGGCAACAAAAUUCCGAAGUGGUUCAACUAUAUUGCAGAUUCUUCAGAGGCUGUCCAAGUUCCUUCGAAUUGGCACAAUUCCAACUUCUUGGGUUUUGCUGUAUGCUUUGUAGCUGAAUUUGAGGAGCUCAAUGAAUCUUAUGGAAGUUUACAAUUUCUAUUUGAGUUUCAAGUGAUGACCAAGUCAGGUGAAUGUCACAAAUCCAGACGUAUUUUGGAGAUACGUUCCUAUGAAUACUAUGAGACAGCAAGUAAUAUAGGAACUCAAAUUCUUAAUUCAGAUCAUGUAUUCAUGUUGUACGAGUACAAAAGUUUUCUUGCUUGUCAAGAAAUAGAAGAAGCUGAUAACAUGACAGGAUUCUCAUUUUCAAUCCAUCCAAUCGGUGGGGAUGAUGUAACUGCUUGUAGAGUGAAGACAUGUGGUAUCCGCAUGUUGUAUCUCGAAGAAGCUCAGGAAUUUGGUCUCCUGACUAAACCUGAUUAUGAUUGGAAAUCAAGAGUGGAAGAAGAAGAAGAUGAUUAUGAUGAUGAUGAUGAUAAUGAUCAUCAUCAUAAUAAUUCUACAGAAGAACAUCAUGUUUAUGAAUUCUUUUGCAACUUUGGUUCCAAUGAUUGUGAAAAUAAAAUCAGAGACUGCUGUGAACCGAGUGAAAAAAGAAAAGUAGGUGAUGAUGAAUCAAAAAUAAGUGAUGUAGAUGACUCUGCUUUGAAAAAGAAAGAUUGUGAUACACCAAGUACAAGUAUUGCUGCUAUAGAUUAUGUUGAAGGAGGAGAAGCUCUUCUUAGCUUAAACUGGUCUAAACAAAAAAAAUGUCAUGGAACUCUUAACAGUGUCUUUACUGAUGCAAAAGAGCACGAGCAAGAACCAAAUAGAAGUGAAAUAGCACCCAAUUCUGCUGCAAAAGAUCACGAAGAAGAUUCAAAACCAAGCCAAAGAGGGACUAUGGACUUUAUUGAAGCUGACAAUGAGGAUCUAAAUUCAUUUGCAAAUGGCUGCUUACUGUUUCUCUCCCAUAUUAAGGCUAUUUGCAAAGGAAUUUUUGGGAAUAAAGCUGGUAAUGAGCUUAACCAAGAAUCAUCAUUUUCGUCUGGAUCAGUCCAAGAGCGUCUUCAGGCUCUGGAGGUAACAAUACAAAAUCUUCAAUCAGAGAAUGCUAAGUUGCGAGAUCAGAGUCAUCAGCUUUCACAGCAGUAUUUACAGAUGCCAGCAACUAUGCCUAGAUCACCACUGCUUGAAUUAUCUUCUCCAUUUCCAAUGCAGUUACCUGGCCAGAACAUGCAGAUCUUGCAGUACUACCCGCAAAUGGUGCCAGCAGAUCACCAAGGUUAUACUAAUGAGCAAAUAUUGCACUGUCCACAAAUGGCGAUGUCGAAUAUGCCUCCUACAUUUCCUUCACAUCCAUCUUAUCAGAACCAGCAUGUGUCUCAACACUGGCACAUGAUGAUGUCCAGGCCCCUUGGAUUUCCUGCAAACCAGGCUGAUCAUCUACGCCCUUCAUCAUCAUCUCAACAAUAUUUUGACCCUGAUUUUCGUGGAUUAUAGUAGAAGUUACAAAGACAACUAGUAAGCAUCUUUCCUAAUGAGAAGAACAUUUUCUACCUAAACACAUGGCCACAUGCAGACUUAUAUGGUGCAAGUGUCAUUGAUUCUUGAAAUAGAAGAUCAAACUAGAGCUGAGAUGAGUCCAGGUAGUCACAAGUUUCCAGCAACUGUGCUCACCCAAUUCCAAUGUAAACCAUGGUUUUUUUCACUUCAUGUGGAGAUACUCUUCCUCCAAGUAGAAGAACUGAAAAGUCAUGGUUUUUUCACUUCAUGUGGAGUACUUUCCCUUGCCAUACUUGUCCUCUCAAAUCUUGCUUCAAAUGUCCAAACUGUUCUUCUACUUGGAGGAAGAGUAGCAGCCAUAUCUCCUCAUGAAGUAAAAAAUCCAUAGCUUUUUUUGGGGUGGGUGAGCACAGUUACUGGAAACUUGUCGCUACCUGGUUCGGCUGCUAAUCUAAUCGUGUGUGAGCAGGCUCUUCAAUCUCCAUCUAUCAAGUAUACACUCUCUUUCCGGCGAAGUCAUUGUGUGCUAAAGGUCUUGAUAAUCUUGAGAACGAGCUGAAUGAGCUUGAGAAAAGUGAUGCACUGGCAGAGGAGGCAAAAAGAAAGCCUAAGGCCAAGUAAAGAAGAUGGCCACACCUGUUUCUAAAGUUUCCAGACAAGCACCGUAAGCCCCACGCAAGAAUACCAAGAAAGCCAACAAUGCUGAAGAUGUUGACCGAAUCAUCGAAACAUUUAAUUCCGCAAUGGAUUUCAGCAAGCUGGAUUAGUUAGUUACAAGCAUGAAAAAAUCUUCGAAAAGUGUUGUUGGACAUUCAUCAGUCCUUGUGCAUUUUUAGACAAACCUCCGGAGAAAGGGAAACCAUUGGCAGAGCAGCCCCAAAGAAGGCUGCUACUUCUAAAAAGGUGGUAGUCAGUGAUGAUGAUGAUGAUGAAUUACUUGAGUUGAAAGAUUGACUUGAUUGACUUACUGCCUACAAUCUUGACUCAUCUCCUGAUAAACCAGCAGAAGUGCCACAGACUGCUCUAGCCACGAAGAAAGCACCUACCAAAAGGGCUACUGCAAAGAAGAAAACUCUUCCAGAUGCUGAUCUUGAUGAUGAUGAUGACAACAGCAACUUUGAAAUGGAAGCUAGUGCAGGUUCCUCUGGUGGUAAGAAGGGAGGAAAGAAAGGAGCUGCAGCAAAAACAAAGGCAGCCAAGGCUCCUACAGCAGCAGCAACAACGAGGAGAGGAGGUGUAGCAGCCAGCAAACAGGCUCAGUUGCUUGGGCAGAAGUUUUUGACAGAUAUGCUGAAGCCUGCUGCUGAGUGUUCAGGGAUUUCGCCAGAGAAGAAAGGGAGGAAAAUGAGGGAAUUCCCAUUUAACAAGAAGAGUGGUUCUUUGUUGGAAAGGACUAUUGGUAAAGAAGACGAUGAGGAUGAAGAAGCAUCUAAUGAGAGUGGAUAGAAGCCAACUUCCUUUUCUACUUCUGUGGCUACUGAUGAAGCAUCUGAAGUCCCAACAACAAAAGCUAGACCGCUGAGUGUUCCAUUAUUCUUUCCCUUCUGGCAGACUCAAUUUGGGGAGUCUUCUUCCUUCUCAUCUCAGCUUCCAAAACAGAACUAUCUUCAAUGUAAGUUCCUUCUUCCAAAGCGAUUUCCUCGUCCUUUUUUAUGAAACAAAACCCACCCUUCAAUACACGCAUAAGAGAAUUGACAUCAUAUUGACAGUGACACCAACUAGCAUGGCAAGGAGUCCCAAUAGAAAUUUUCCCAAGGAAAUUUUGCUUUGCAUGGCAAUGACCAAGUUCAUGUGUGGAUUUGCCAAUAGGAGGUGCAUGCAGCCAAGCCGAUGUUUGCACUUGAGUCCAAGGCCAGUAAGAAAGGAUGUCAUUAGUAAAUAAUGCACUUUUGACAGAGCAGACAUUAUGCAGAUUCUGCAAAGCACAUCCUUUGCGCCUUGAGACUUCCAUGAAAGAAAUUGACCGACAUACUUGAACAUUUCAUCUUUCUUAAGAUAGAUACCAAUAAACCAUAACAUACAUUCUUUCUCUGCUUCUUGUUGUCUAUCUUGAGAAAGAUGAAAUACACUCUGGUGGUGUUUCUACAUGCUCUGAACUAUAUUUAACCCUCUAAUACAGGAAAAACUAGCCAGUACAAGAUGUAAUAGAUGAGAUUGGUGAUAACAAAAUAAAAACAAAAAACACAUACAUACAUACAGUAUCGAUCCUUUAUUUUAUAGAAAGCAUAUAACUGAUGAUGCUGCUCUUAACUAAGUUCUCAUGGCUUCAACUGAAUUUUAAUGAAGGCAUAGCUUUUUCAUUACCAUCUUAUUUUUCAGAUUCAACAUUGUAGUGUUCAAACUAUUAUAUAAUACUUUUAAUAUUUUAAAAACUAAU